UAGCAAGUGUUUAUGAUAUUUAUUAUCAUGCUUACGUAUGGAACUGUAUCAAAUGAGUUAAAUUUUUAAUUUUAAACGCAAUAGUAAAUGUGUAAAAAUGUCUAGCAGAUUGGAUAUAUUAUGGUCACCGGCACAUCAUGACAAAUUCAUUGUUUGGGGCCCAGACAUAACCUUGUACGAAGUGGCAAGGAUAAAAGAAAUCGAGAAGAAAACGACUUUCACUCCAAUUUCCUCAACCUAUGGAGCCACAGUUGUUGCGUCCCAGAGUGCUAGUGGAGUGCGGUGCGUUGAUAUCAGUGCUGAACCAGAGCAGCCUGAGCCAUUGCUCGCUCUUGGAUAUGCUAGUGGACGGGUCUCACUUACCACCCUUAAACAAACAUAUGACCCUUUGGGACUAGUUGGAAGAGAGUUUGCACCAAGAUACCAAAGGCUUUGCAACUCUGUGUCAUGGAGUCACAUGGAGACAAACAUGUUGGCAGUCGCGAUGGAGAAACAUCGUAGUGACCACUGCAUACUUGUAUGGGAUGUAAACCGAGGUUCGGCAGCUGCUGAUGAGGCUUUAGAAAGUACUUCUCAAGGAAGUGUAGAUCCGAUGCGACCACUAGCAGAAAUGGGACUAUCUGAGACAGCACAUAAUGUAACCUGGUCUAACUGCUCGAACAGGACCUUAUUGGCUUCAAUGAACUUGAAGUACAUCAAAAUAUUUGAUCUUAGAGAUUUAUCGAACAAAGCCGUGAGCAUGACCGCGACCCGCUACUGCUACGGUGUGUGUGCCGACCCGAACAGCUCCCACCAGCUCGCCUCCCGCGGAGAGAACGUGGUCUGUCUUUGGGACACCAGGCACUUCGACCGCCCCGUACUCUCUCUGCAGCAUCCCCGGCCUCUAGCCGUCACCCAUCUGCAGUGGUGCCCUACCAGACGCAACCUUCUUCUCUCGCUACAGAGAGAUUCCAAGUCGCUCCGCAUCCACGACAUACAGCAGGCCAGUGCUGAGUGGAAGAAAAACGCGCUCGAUGUGCUGACGGCGACGGCCGUAGAGGCCGAAGUGGAGGAGUACUCUCGCAGACCGAGCGUGUUGGAGCGUGACGUCACUCCUGGAGGGUCGCAGCCGCUCGUGGCCUUCUGCUGCCAUCCGGCUCACGAGGCGCGUCUGCUGGCACUCAGCGCCACAGGCGGUCUGGUAGACUACACGGUCUGCGAGCGCGUGGCGGUGUCCUGGGGGGCGGGGGGAGGGCUGGCCUGGUCCGGGGGAGGAGGGGGACUCCGUGUCCUCAACGACGACUUGUGCGGGGUCGUGAAGGACAUCUCGCACGUCAUGAGACGACGCGCCCAAACCGACUACGGCCUCAAGCAAGACCUGUGGCAGAACGCAGACCUCGCCGAUGACGACGCGCUCAGCGCCCUGUGGCACUUCAUGGCCUUGAGCAAGUCCUUGGUGGAAGAUGGUUGCAUAAGGAACAGUCCGUGGAAGCACCCGGGCGUGCUGACCGUGCUGCGGUCCCCGGGCGACGGCGGCUACCGCUCCGAGAUAGUGCCCUCCCUGCUGCCCGAUAUGCCCAACCGCAGGGUCACGCUCUACAGGAGUGCAGAGCGAACUCGUGCACUGCAGCUGUGCGGGUGGGGGUGGGGGUGGGAGAACGCGGACGCGGGGGUGGAGCGCGCCGAGGCCGAGGGCACCCCGUGUCGCGCCGCCGCACUCGCCGCCUUCCACCUCCGGCUCAGGACUGCUCUGGACGUGCUGGCCCGGGCGCACGAGCCGCAGCUCCGCGUGGUGGGGCUGGCGCUGGCGGGGCUGAGUGAGGAGCGGCUGUGGCGUGAGGCGCUGGCGGCCGGCGCCUCCGCCCUGCCCGACGCCUACCUGCGCGGCCUGCUGCACUUCCUGGCGGCCUCCGCCCCCGCGCCGCCCGCCCUGCACGCGCCCUCCGCGCCGCCCGACCUGUCCGCCGUGCUCGACGAGACGGAGAUGCGGCUGGAGGACCGCGUGGCCUUCGCCUGCAUGUUCCUGUCGGACGGCAAGCUGCACGAGUACGUGCGCCACACGGCCGACGCGCUCGUGCAGCGCGGGGACCUGUCCGGCGUGCUGCUCACCGGGGCCGGCGCGGAGGGCGCGGCGCUGCUGCAGCACUGGCUGGACGCGAGCGGCGACGUGCAGAGUGCCGCCCUGCUGGCCGCGCGCUGCUUCACGCCGGAGCUGCUGGCCCUGCCGCACGUGCAGCACUGGCUCGACAGCUACCGCGGGCUGCUGGACGGCUGGCGGCUGUGGUGGGCUCGCUGCGCGCUGGACACGUGGGUGUGCGGGGGCAGCGCCGCGGCCGCCGUGCGCCACGUGUGCGUGGCCUGCACCUACUGCGGCAAGUCCGUGGCGGCGGCCGCGGGGGCCCGGCCUCGCCCGCCGCUCGCGCGCCUGCCGCCGCCCGCCGCCAAGAUGAAGCAAAUCUCGUCGUGCCCGAACUGCCGCAAGCCGCUGCCGCGCUGCGCCGUGUGCUCGCUGCACCUGGGCACGGGCGCGGGGGGCGGCGCGGGGGGUGCGGCGGGCGGCGGCGCGGGGGGCGCGGCCUUCCCCCGCUGGUUCAGCUGGUGCGUGGCCUGCAGGCACGGGGGCCACGCCGCGCACCUCAUGGACUGGUUCAAGGAGCACGCGGAGUGCCCGGUCAGCUCCUGCAACUGCCGCUGCAGCACCCUGGACCCCCCCCACCGCCUGUAGCGCGCACCGGCACGCGGGGGCGGCGCCCCGGGGGACCGACUAUCUACUGAACACACGUUUUUCUUUGGUUAAGAAAAUCAAUGAAUUGUAUAUCUGAGACACGAUGAGUGCCCACUGAGGCUCGACACAGAGCCGUUAGCGAGGGACGCACCCUCCGUGUGCCAGCGUGUGAGAAGUAGCUUGUGAUCUGGGAACCCAGAUAAAAUACCUUUAUAAAAUAUACGAAGAGUACUCGACCGGAUUAAGGAUCCGUUUUGUUUAUGUUUUUUUUAAGUAAUCACCGUUGGGCGGGCAUACGGCUCAUCUGACGGUUAGUGCACACUCUAGAUUAUUAUAAUCAUUAUUAGUAAUUAAAAGCUACAAGGCCUGUGGGAUCCACGUUCAUUGUAUCGAAGUAAAUUCGGGAAAACUAAUUAAGCAUAAGAACGUUUUACAGAAAUAUAUAUUUUUAUACUAGAACUUAGUACUUUAAGGUAAGAGCUUAGAUUCAGUAGGAGGGCUCUUCACUAGUCAUUAUUGAACAAAAAGUGUGAUCUGUCUGUACAUCGGGAUUUUGUAAUGACUCAUGUUCGCUCAAUGUGCAAAUGACCUCUUUAGGUAUAGGCUUUAUUCAAACAUAUACUUUGGUCUAUAUUUUUAACUACUCUGUGUACGACUCGACUUUUGGCGGAAACGCGACAAACGAACUUUUACAAGGUUUAAUUUUUGUAAUUAAAUUUUCUUCCGGCUUAAACGUCUAAUAAAGGACGGUUAUUAACUGUUUAGUAUCUGUGAAAGUGUAUAAAUGUGAGAAAACGAAACGCAGUCGCUGGAUAUGGCUUCUCGGUUUGUUCCAAAAAGUUCAGUGAAGUUUCAGGAAAUAACCACAAUUUUACUGAGACUUUAUUUCAUCCCAUAUCGCUUCAUUUAAUUUCAUCCAAAUUCAUUACAGUCUCAGAUUACAUAGAAAACUUCUCAUUACAUCCAACCAUUACAUACAUUAUUAUUUUUCGUAAUGUUCGUACGAAUAUACAAAAGAUUAGGAUUAGAUUAUGGCGUGAUAGGUUUGCCAUGUUGGAAAAAUGGAACUACUACUUCUGAAAGGUCAGUUUUGUUGUAAUCUUAUUGAUAACCUACAACACUUUUCAAUUUGAACUCAAAGCAUGAAUAUAGUCAUGACUUGAUACUUUUAAGACUUAUUCUAAUCCGAAAAUGUACUUGGGUCGUAGAAAAAAUAUAAAUGAUUUAUUAAAAGACUCGGUGGUAUUGAUACGUUUUUUUUUAAUGCCGUAUAGGCAGACAAGGAU
This 3990-nucleotide unclassified non-coding RNA is filed under the name Bombyx mandarina (wild silkworm). RNAcentral's name for it is "gATOR complex protein MIOS, transcript variant X1". Lineage: Eukaryota; Metazoa; Arthropoda; Insecta; Lepidoptera; Bombycidae. The record is from RNAcentral.